This 485-nucleotide ribosomal RNA is filed under the name uncultured bacterium. Its description in RNAcentral is "partial 16S ribosomal RNA". It matches the Rfam family "Bacterial small subunit ribosomal RNA", at positions 28 to 523 of the family's 1533-position model. The record is from RNAcentral.
GACGAACGCUGGCGGCGUGCUUAACACAUGCAAGUCGAACGGUGAAAGCGGAGCUUGCUCCGCUGGAUCAGUGGCGAACGGGUGAGUAACACGUGGGCAACCUGCCCCUCACUUCGGGAUAACUCCGGGAAACCGGGGCUAAUACCGGAUAUGACCUCCUUGGGCAUCCUUGGAGGUGGAAAGUUUUUCGGUGAGGGAUGGGCCCGCGGCCUAUCAGCUUGGUGGUGAGGUAGUGGCUCACCAAGGCGACGACGGGUAGCCGGCCUGAGAGGGCGACCGGCCACACUGGGACUGGGACACGGCCCAGACUCCGACGGGAGGCAGCAGUGGGGAAUAUUGCGCAAUGGGCGAAAGCCUGACGCAGCAACGCCGCGUGCGGGAUGACGGCCUUCGGGUUGUAAACCGCUUUCAGCAGGGAAGAAGCCGCAAGGUGACGGUACCUGCAGAAGAAGCACCGGCUAACUACGUGCCAGCCGCCGCCGUAA